Molecule: ribosomal RNA, 727 nt
Filed under: Bacillus tequilensis
Lineage: Bacteria; Bacillati; Bacillota; Bacilli; Caryophanales; Bacillaceae
Description: bacterial SSU rRNA
Rfam family: Bacterial small subunit ribosomal RNA
Source: RNAcentral
AUCCGGAGGUUGUUGACCGCAGGUUCAAACAUAAAAGGUGGUUCGGUACCACUUACAGAUGGACCCGCGGCGCAUUAGCUAGUUGGUGAGGUAACGGCUCACCAAGGCAACGAUGCGUAGCCGACCUGAGAGGGUGAUCGGCCACACUGGGACUGAGACACGGCCCAGACUCCUACGGGAGGCAGCAGUAGGGAAUCUUCCGCAAUGGACGAAAGUCUGACGGAGCAACGCCGCGUGAGUGAUGAAGGUUUUCGGAUCGUAAAGCUCUGUUGUUAGGGAAGAACAAGUACCGUUCGAAUAGGGCGGUACCUUGACGGUACCUAACCAGAAAGCCACGGCUAACUACGUGCCAGCAGCCGCGGUAAUACGUAGGUGGCAAGCGUUGUCCGGAUUAUUGGGCGUAAAGGGCUCGCAGGCGGUUUCUUAAGUCUGAUGUGAAAGCCCCCGGCUCAACCGGGGAGGGUCAUUGGAAACUGGGGAACUUGAGUGCAAAGAGGAGAGUGGAUUCCACGUGUAGCGGUGAAUGCGUAAGAUGUGGAGGAACACCAUGGCGAAGCGACUCUCUGGUCUGUAACUGACGCUGAGGAGCGAAAGCGUGGGGAGCGAACAGGAUUAAUACCCUGGUAGUCCACGCCGUAACGAUGAUGCUAAUGUAGGGGGUUCCGCCCCUUAUGCUGCACUAACGCAUUAACACUCCGCCUGGGAUACGGUCGCAGACUGAACUCAA